Long non-coding RNA from Oncorhynchus gorbuscha (pink salmon), 318 nucleotides. RefSeq lists it as uncharacterized. The record is from RefSeq and is a predicted model, not a curated record. NCBI's taxonomy places the organism in Eukaryota, Metazoa, Chordata, Actinopteri, Salmoniformes, Salmonidae. The transcript has 3 exons.
GGUCUGAUGACAAUACUAAGGAUUUCAUUCAGUGGUGAAAACAGCAGGAGAAAUGCAGCAAAAAAAAUGUUUUGAGAUCUCCAGCGUCCUCCAACUCUUUUUACAAGUCAAAAACUCAGCUCCACAGGCAAAUUGCCCAUCCGCACACUUCACUUCCUUUCAUUGAAUGGUGAUUCAUCGCCCACAAUGCGUUCAAAGGAUCACAGGCCCUAUAAGGAUUGACCAUGCCUCCACAGCCAAAGUUCUAUGGUUUGCAUGCCCUGCGAAGGACCCAAGUAUACGGUCAUAAUAGGUGCUUGGAGUUCGUCGUUCCCCAAG